This 429-nucleotide ribosomal RNA is filed under the name Acidobacteriota bacterium. RNAcentral's name for it is "Acidobacteria bacterium partial 16S ribosomal RNA". It matches the Rfam family "Bacterial small subunit ribosomal RNA", at positions 355 to 776 of the family's 1533-position model. Lineage: Bacteria; Pseudomonadati; Acidobacteriota. The record is from RNAcentral.
UGGGGAAUUUUGGACAAUGGGGGAAACCCUGAUCCAGCCAUCCCGCGUGUGCGAUGCAGGCCUUCGGGUUGUAAAGCACUUUUGGCAGGAAAGAAACGUCAUGGGUUAAUACCCCGUGAAACUGACGGUACCUGCAGAAUAAGCACCGGCUAACUACGUGCCAGCAGCCGCGGUAAUACGUAGGGUGCAAGCGUUAAUCGGAAUUACUGGGCGUAAAGCGUGCGCAGGCGGUUCGGAAAGAAAGAUGUGAAAUCCCAGAGCUCAACUUGGGAACUGCAUUUUUAACUACCGGGCUAGAGUGUGUCAGAGGGAGGUGGAAUUCCGCGUGUAGCAGUGAAAUGCGUAGAUAUGCGGAGGAACACCGAUGGCGAAGGCAGCCUCCUGGGAUAACACUGACGCUCAUGCACGAAAGCGUGGGGAGCAAACAGG